Molecule: non-coding RNA, 26 nt
Filed under: Cricetulus griseus (Chinese hamster)
Lineage: Eukaryota; Metazoa; Chordata; Mammalia; Rodentia; Cricetidae
Source: RNAcentral
UAAUGGACAGACUACUGGCACAAAGU